GACGAACGCUGGCGGCGUGCCUAAUACAUGCAAGUAGAACGCUGAAGAGAGGAGCUUGCUCUUCUUGGAUGAGUUGCGAACGGGUGAGUAACGCGUAGGUAACCUGCCUUGUAGCGGGGGAUAACUAUUGGAAACGAUAGCUAAUACCGCAUAACAAUGGAUGACCAUGUCAUUUAUUUGAAAGGGGCAAAUGCUCCACUACAAGAUGGACCUGCGUUGUAUUAGCUAGUAGGUGAGGUAACGGCUCACCUAGGCGACGAUACAUAGCCGACCUGAGAGGGUGAUCGGCCACACUGGGACUGAGACACGGCCCAGACUCCUACGGGAGGCAGCAGUAGGGAAUCUUCGGCAAUGGGGGCAACCCUGACCGAGCAACGCCGCGUGAGUGAAGAAGGUUUUCGGAUCGUAAAGCUCUGUUGUAAGUCAAGAACGAGUGUGAGAGUGGAAAGUUCACACUGUGACGGUAGCUUACCAGAAAGGGACGGCUAACUACGUGCCAGCAGCCGCGGUAAUACGUAGGUCCCGAGCGUUGUCCGGAUUUAUUGGGCGUAAAGCGAGCGCAGGCGGUUUGAUAAGUCUGAAGUUAAAGGCUGUGGCUCAACCAUAGUUCGCUUUGGAAACUGUCAAACUUGAGUGCAGAAGGGGAGAGUGGAAUUCCAUGUGUAGCGGUGAAAUGCGUAGAUAUAUGGAGGAACACCGGUGGCGAAAGCGGCUCUCUGGUCUGUAACUGACGCUGAGGCUCGAAAGCGUGGGGAGCGAACAGGAUUAGAUACCCUGGUAGUCCACGCCGUAAACGAUGAGUGCUAGGUGUUGGAUCCUUUCCGGGAUUCAGUGCCGCAGCUAACGCAUUAAGCACUCCGCCUGGGGAGUACGACCGCAAGGUUGAAACUCAAAGGGAUUGACGGGGGCCCGCACAAGCGGUGGAGCAUGUGGUUUAAUUCGAAGCAACGCGAAGAACCUUACCAGGUCUUGACAUCCCGAUGCUAUUUCUAGAGAUAGAAAGUUACUUCGGUACAUCGGUGACAGGUGGUGCAUGGUUGUCGUCAGCUCGUGUCGUGAGAUGUUGGGUUAAGUCCCGCAACGAGCGCAACCCCUAUUGUUAGUUGCCAUCAUUCAGUUGGGCACUCUAGCGAGACUGCCGGUAAUAAACCGGAGGAAGGUGGGGAUGACGUCAAAUCAUCAUGCCCCUUAUGACCUGGGCUACACACGUGCUACAAUGGUUGGUACAACGAGUUGCGAGUCGGUGACGGCAAGCUAAUCUCUUAAAGCCAAUCUCAGUUCGGAUUGUAGGCUGCAACUCGCCUACAUGAAGUCGGAAUCGCUAGUAAUCGCGGAUCAGCACGCCGCGGUGAAAAAGUUCCCGGGCCU
This 1368-nucleotide ribosomal RNA is filed under the name uncultured bacterium. RNAcentral describes it as "bacterial SSU rRNA". It matches the Rfam family "Bacterial small subunit ribosomal RNA", at positions 28 to 1381 of the family's 1533-position model. The record is from RNAcentral.